This 131-nucleotide ribosomal RNA is filed under the name Lentomitella crinigera. Its description in RNAcentral is "partial small subunit ribosomal RNA". It matches the Rfam family "Eukaryotic small subunit ribosomal RNA", at positions 1651 to 1779 of the family's 1831-position model. Lineage: Eukaryota; Fungi; Ascomycota; Sordariomycetes; Xenospadicoidales; Xenospadicoidaceae. The record is from RNAcentral.
CCCUGCCCCUUGUACACACCGCCCGUCGCUACUACCGAUUGGAUGGCUCAGUGAGGCUUUCGGACUGGCCCAGAGGGGCGGGCAACUGCUCCCCAGGGCCGGAAAGUUAUCCAAACUCGGUCAUCUAGAGG